Molecule: ribosomal RNA, 550 nt
Filed under: uncultured archaeon
Lineage: Archaea
Description: bacterial SSU rRNA
Rfam family: Archaeal small subunit ribosomal RNA
Source: RNAcentral
GAUUAGAAUUACCCGGCGUAGUCCAGGCUGUUAACUCUGCCCGUUUGGUGUAGCAUCUCCUACGAGGAGGUGCUGUGCCGUAGCGUAGGUGUUAAACGGGCCGCCUGGGGAGUACGUCCGCAAGGAUGAAACUUAAGGGAAUUGGCGGGGAAGCACCACAAGCGGUGGAGGCUGCGGUUUAAUUGGAUUCAACGCCAGGAACGUUACCAGCGGCUGACAGCAUGAUGAGGGUCACCCUGAAGGGGUUACCUGAAGCGCUGAGAGGAGUUGCAUGGCCAUCGUCAGCUCGUACUGUGAAGCGUCCGGUUAAGUCCGGUAACGAGCAAGACCCGCGCUCCUAGUUGCUAUCGCGCCCUCCGGGGCACGAGCACUCUAGGAGUACCGCCCUCGAUAAGAGGGAGGAAGGUGCGGGCGACGGUAGGUCAGUAUGGCCCGAAUGCGUUGGGCUACACGCGGCCUACAAUGGCCGGGACAAUAGGUUGAGACUCCGAAAGGAGAAGCCAAUCCAUUAACCCGGCCUUAGUACGGAUCGAGGGCCUANACCCGCCCU